Molecule: long non-coding RNA, 298 nt
Filed under: Aotus nancymaae (Ma's night monkey)
Lineage: Eukaryota; Metazoa; Chordata; Mammalia; Primates; Aotidae
Description: lncRNA (ENSANAG00000039509.1)
Source: RNAcentral
UAAAAAACUCUGUCUUCCUCAAUCUUUGUUUCUUUAGAGUAACAGUAAAUCCUCAUUUAAUGUCUGUCCAAAAGGAGCAUGAAAAGUAAAGAAGGAAGGAUGGAAAGAAAGAAAAAGAAAGAAAGAAGGAAGAACAGAAGGAAGGUCAAUCAUGAAUAGCAUCAGGGUUAUUAUGGUCCAAUGGAGCCAGGCAUGGGACAGCCAAAUAUCACUCAAAAGUACAGGUUGGAAAUCAGAGCCCAGGGUCCUAUCACAUAGAUCUGCUGUUCCUUGGAAUCAUGUUCCUGGCUCCUGGUAG